This 222-nucleotide long non-coding RNA is filed under the name Parus major (Great Tit). RNAcentral describes it as "lncRNA (ENSPMJG00000015924.1)". The record is from RNAcentral. Lineage: Eukaryota; Metazoa; Chordata; Aves; Passeriformes; Paridae.
UUUUUAUCGAUAUAUAUAAAUUUCCAAACUCUGAUGUUCAUCCUGUCGUUUGGUUGCAGCCUUGCUAAUAAGCAAGAUGGGUCCCUGUCCAUGGUGUAUCGCAAAAAUCAGAUCUCUGAGACUUUGAAAGGAAGGGGUUUUGAUCUUGAAAUUAUCUGCUGCUUCCUGACUUCGAUCCAGUAUCUGAAGUUUCCUGACUUUUGGCUCAUCCAACUCAAGUGA